RNAcentral lists this ribosomal RNA (254 nucleotides) under uncultured bacterium. RNAcentral describes it as "partial 16S ribosomal RNA". It matches the Rfam family "Bacterial small subunit ribosomal RNA", at positions 524 to 776 of the family's 1533-position model. The record is from RNAcentral.
UACGUAGGGGGCAAGCGUUUGUCCGGAAUCAUUGGGCGUAAAGAGCGUGUAGGCGGCUCGGUAAGUCCGCUGUGAAAGUCCAGGGCUCAACCCUGGAAUGCCGGUGGAAACUGUCGAGCUAGAGUCCGGAAGAGGCGAGUGGAAUUCCUGGUGUAGCGGUGAAAUGCGCAGAUAUCAGGAGGAACACCAAUGGCGAAGGCAGCUCGCUGGGACGGUACUGACGCUGAGACGCGAAAGCGUGGGGAGCAAACAGG